This 749-nucleotide long non-coding RNA is filed under the name Pongo abelii (Sumatran orangutan). Its description in RNAcentral is "lincRNA". Lineage: Eukaryota; Metazoa; Chordata; Mammalia; Primates; Hominidae. The record is from RNAcentral.
CCUAGUUUGGGAUUGGGUGGGAAGACCUCAUAAAAUAGUGAAGGGUAGACUGAGUCUCGAAUGAGCUAAACAAAUAUAUCGAUAUAAUUGGCCAGCCCUCAGCUGGUCUCUGAUUAUGACCCAACCUGCUGAGAUAAAAUCCAGUGCAUCCUGAGCUACCUUGUUCAUGUUCCAGGAUUCAGUGACUUUGGGCAAGUGAAGCUGUACAGGAAGCAUGGCUGGAGAGGCCCCAGGAAACUUACAAUCAUGGUGGAAAGCAAAGGGGAAGCAGACUGUACAGGAAGCAUGGCUGGGAGGCUUCAGGAAAUUCACAAUCAUGGCAGAAGGUGAAGAGGAAACAAGCACAUCUUCUCAUGGUCAGCAGGAGAGAGAGAGAGAAAGUGAAGGGGUGCUGGUGAUGCAAUCAGACAAGUGCUCUGCUGUUCCGGAGUUUACAUUUGGAAAAAUUGUAUUAUAUACCAGGGAAGGAUGUGGUAACUCCUGAAACCUUCCCUUGGUCAUUGUCUUCUUCUUCUUCUCCUCCUCCUCCCUUUUCUCCCUCUCUUCCUCCUCCUCCUUCUCCUCUUAUUCUUCUUCCUCCUUCUCUUUUUAAAUGAGGAAGCCCAUAGAAAAUAUUGUGGUAGGGAGAAAUGGAUUUUAAAGAAGUAUGACUGAAAAAAAAUCUUUCACUAUAAUAGAAAAUCUUGGUGCUGAGGGAAGAAAUCCAAAAAAUUAAAAAUCUUCAGAAGAUAUGUCUUUGAACAGACAAA